GAAAGCUUUCAGGUUGAAUUUAGAUGAUUUUUUCCCCCUCAUCAUCUUUUUCCUCUUCUUUCCUUCUGCAGCACUCAGGCUAGCCUGAAGUCUCCUGUCUAAGACUUUCACUCUAAUUUGAAGACAUCUGAAAAGCAGCUGCCAUAGCUGAAAAGCUAGAGCAGCUGUAAACCAUAAAUCACAAGGGUGAGGAAUUCUGGGCUGCAGAUUGGCAUGUGGUCUGUCAAGCCAAAAAAAUAGAGACAUAAAAGAUCAAGAGGUCAGAGGACAGCACAGUUCCUACACAAGUAACUAUUAUGACCUCUUCUAUCUCAAGAUGAGGUAUGAGAAGGCUUUGUGGAUACAGCUGCAUUAUUUAGAGAAUGGUUGAAGUUUGAAUAUAAGUGAGUAUUUUCAUUACAUAAAUAAGACAACAUGGAAAGAAUAUUGGAUUUGAAGACAGACCUGAUCUGAAUCCUGACUAUCAUUUACUGGACAAAUCCUUUAAUCUCUCUGGGCCUCAGUCUCUUCAUCUGUA
Molecule: long non-coding RNA, 517 nt
Filed under: Monodelphis domestica (gray short-tailed opossum)
Lineage: Eukaryota; Metazoa; Chordata; Mammalia; Didelphimorphia; Didelphidae
Description: lncRNA (ENSMODG00000041181.1)
Source: RNAcentral